AUUGAUGCAAUCAAUAUACCGUAGACAGUAACAGCUUAAUGCUUAAUAUGUUACCGAGGUAGUAUUGUCAUUUGAUGACAACGCUCCUCUAUGGUUAGGAGCGUUUUUAUAUAGCGUG
Eggerthia catenaformis is the source of this 118-nucleotide non-coding RNA. Lineage: Bacteria; Bacillati; Bacillota; Erysipelotrichia; Erysipelotrichales; Coprobacillaceae. The record is from Rfam.